CUGAUAUAUUCACACUCAGUGACCAGCAGUCAGGAGUUACUGAAUGUGGUUCUUCUGAAGAUGCAGUAGAAGUGGAAGUGUUGUGAGUUUAAAUGCAGUCAGAACAGACCAGGGCUGGUCCACAGCAAUCAAACACUGGCACUGCACUGUUUUCACUGCUUAUGUAACAACAUGUCACAGAAAGUGCUGCCAUACUGGUUGUGCAACACAGUCAAAACUGUGCUUGGUCAGUUCGUCUUUCUUACAGACCGUUCAUUUUUUGUCGUUCUAAUUAUGUAAUUUGUCAUUUUACUUUCCAAAAGACUGAAGGGCCAACCGAUGUUCGGACACUGGUGCUCAGAGGCCUUCUAGUCAUCCUCAGUGACAUCUCCACAGACUUCUACACAACAGCCUUUGACUCUGAUGACUCAUUCUGCCACGUUGACAUUGGGAUCCUCCUCAUUCAGCAUAAAGGUGCUGAGCUCUCAUCAUCCCUCCAUCUCAGUCCAGCCCCAUUGAAGAUCAUCACUGAGGGAGAAGUCGUGAUGGACGACAUUCAAGACCUGCCAAAAGCUAUGUGCAUUAGGCUUGGGCUUACAUAUGCAGCGUAUCUCAACUGUCCCAACUCUGUGAAGAACACAUUCCAGUUCAUCCAACAGGUUCUUCUCACACUGGGCCACUGAACUAAAACCCAGAUUACAAACACUGAAAAAGCAGCUCGCGCUGUAAAUAAAAGCCAGGUCAAGUCUAUCGUAAGAAGGUGUGGCUGCUUUUGGUUUUUCAAAUGUUUAUUUGUUUUUGUUUGUUUUUCCACU
Long non-coding RNA from Colossoma macropomum (tambaqui), 794 nucleotides. RefSeq lists it as uncharacterized. The transcript is spliced from 3 exons. Lineage: Eukaryota; Metazoa; Chordata; Actinopteri; Characiformes; Serrasalmidae. The record is from RefSeq and is a predicted model, not a curated record.